CCUUCUUGCUUUCCGAUUGGUCUGAGGGAGAAAACGAAUAGUGUCACUUUUUCUUGGCCUUGCCCCUGCUCCCUGGUAAUCCAGUUCUGGAGCUCUCAUUGGUGGCACGUUCCUUCUUAUUUCUCUACUACCUUGGGGGAACUCGGACUAGGUAGUUUCUACGAUUCUACAAAUCUGGGCGGAUAAUGUCAGCGCGCGCUACCGGCGUUCUUGCUAUCCGCUUUUCCGCUCUUCCCAGUAACUUUAGCCUCUGGCAAAUUAGGAACCUCUCCACCAAUCAUCGAAUAAUAAUACUCUUGACAUUAAUUACGUUCUCUUUCAGUUAAAGCAGCGACGUGGACCUCAGGGACACUUUAAAAAGGCUUCGUGCACCUUGCAGAGGCAAAAGCCUGGGACCAGAAGGCAGAAUACUUGACAUCUAGUUCUCGGUCUACUACCAACUUGCUGUGUCAGCCAGUCAACAAACAUUUAUUUAGCGGCCUAUUUUGAUAGCGUUACAGCAACGUUAUGAUAAGUACUGGAGAUAGAAAGGAAGGGAAAAGACAUUUUCUGCCCUGAAGGAGCUUAUUAGAGAGAAGGAACACAAUAUGCAAAAAUAUAUAUAUUCAAAGCAAGCUCUAUACAGAAAAAAAAAAAAAAAGGAAACUAAAUAAGAGGGAAGGCGUUGGAAUUAAGAAGGGCUACGGAAGGUUUCUGGUAGAAGGUGGGAUUUUAGUUGGGAUUUAAAGGAAGCCAGGGAAGUCAGUAGUUGCAGAGAAGGAGAAAGCUUAUUUUAGGAGUGAGAGAGCCAGAGAGGAUGCCUAGGACCUUGAGAUGAAGUGUCUUGUUUAUAGGAAUAGCCAGAAGGCCAAUGUCACUGGAUGGAGUAGUUAGGGAGUAAGGUACAAGAAGACUGGAAACAUAGGAGGGGUUAGAUAGUAAAGGGCUUUGUAUACCAAAAAGCACUUUAUAUUUGCUUCUGGAGUUUUUGACAGUCUAAUGAAGGAGACAGCAUGCGGAGAAUUAAAUACAAACAAGCUAUCAACAAGAUAAACAGAAGAUAAAGAGAAGGAAAGCUUUUUUAGAAUUAAGUAAGAUUGGAAAAGUAAAGGUGAAAUUUUUACUGGGAUUUAAAAGGAGAAAGUUAAAGCCAGGAAGCAAAGGAAAGGAUGGAGAAUUCCAAUCAUGAGGUACCACUAGUGAAAAUGUUUAGAUAAUAGGGAGAUGUAUAAAAUUCACCAUAUCCAAUAGGCAGUUGGAGAUAAGAGAAUGAAGGUCUCAGCAGAGUAGUUAUAACUGGUUAAAUAGAUUUGAGAAUCAUCUACUUAGUGAUCAUAAUUUAAUCCAUGGCAAUUGAGGACAUCACCAAAUGAAAUAGAAUAGAGGAAGAAGAGGAGAGGGUUUAGGACUGAGUACUGUGUGAGAUCUGCAUCAUUAAGGAGAGAUGUCUCCUUCUCUGAUUGGCUGUGCGUAUGACCUCAUAGACCCUAUUUAAGCUGUGGGGAGAGGAAACAGGUCCUCUUUGAGAGUUCAUCAGGACUUCAUUAGGAGUCAGCUGGAGGUCAGCCAGGAGCAGGAUGUGAACAUGUGAAUAAAAGAUCUUGAGCUUGCACAUGGCUGUCUACAAGUACUCUAUCAUGUAUUUAAACAAUCGUUCCUAUGAAAUGAUGGCCAGAGAUCUCUGAAAACCUCAGACGGAGGAUGGAUGAUCUUGUCCACAUCAAGGCGUUUAAAAAACCUGGCAAGCCUAUAAAUUAAGAAGAACUUCAAGGACUACAGAAAAGGAGAUGAGCCUCUUGUUCCUGCCUACCUAUUCCAUCUAUCCAUCUGUGGGUUGUGCUUUUUGACACUUCUCUCAUCUUGUAAAGAGGUGGGAGAAAUAGAUUAACUCUGCAGUACAAUCUGAUAACCUAAGGAGAAAACCUUCAGCAGUGGAUUCCCAUCAGACAUCUCAAAGUUGUCCAUAGAACUGAAGAGGAAAAGAAGGAAGAAGAGGAAUCGUAGCAUAUGAGAAUAGGGAGGAACCUCAACAGUCAAGUCCCAUCCAUUCUUGAAAGGACCACCAGUAAUAAUGUGCUCAAGAAAUAAUUAUCCAGCCUCUACUUGAAGACUUCCAAAGAGAGGGAACUCAUCACCUCUCAAAGAAGUCUAUUAUGUUUUUAGAUAGAUCUAAUUAUUAGAAAGCUUUUCCUGACAUGUAACUUUAAUACAUACUGGACAAUUAAUAAAUAAAUGUUCAAUGAAUUAAAUUACUUUUGAGUAGGAAGUAUUCAAUAUAUACUUAAUUGAUUGUCUUGGCUCAGAUCUCAGUGGGAUUCCAGUUCUCCUCUAUCCCAAGCUCCAACUUUCCUUUUGACUUUCCAUACUUAAAACCCUUGCUUUCAGGGGUUCAAUGCUCUACCAGUCAAAGACAAAGAUGGAGAGCAAUGGCAAUAAUAUAAGAUAUAGAACAAGGGUGCCAUUAAACAUAUGAGGCCAGUUCUAGGAUCAUUAUUCUUUUAAUAUAUUAUUCUGGAACAAAAUGAAUAAUAAUUUUAAAAAAGCUCCUGGUAGUUCUUGUUUUCUCUUUAUAAUUUAAAUAAAUACCACCACCACCCCCCCCUUACAAUUUGUCUCCACUCCCACCAUUCUUCCCUCCCUGGCCCCAGCCCCUCACUCUGGAGAGCAGGCCACUUUCACUACCAAAUUUCACAUUUUCCUAGUCUCUUCUUCCAUUCCUGGCUCUACCCUCAAGCUAGAAAUACUGAUUAUGGGAGAGACUUGAGUGGUGAGAUAUUUAGGGAUUUAGGAGAAAGAAAGCUUCUUUGAUUCCCUUAGUACCUCAGUUCCCCAACCC
Long non-coding RNA from Antechinus flavipes (yellow-footed antechinus), 2815 nucleotides. RefSeq lists it as uncharacterized. The record is from RefSeq and is a predicted model, not a curated record. Lineage: Eukaryota; Metazoa; Chordata; Mammalia; Dasyuromorphia; Dasyuridae. The transcript is spliced from 4 exons.